UGGCUGGGGGUGAAAGGCCAAUCAAACCGGGAGAUAGCUGGUUCUCCCCGAAAGCUAUUUAGGUAGCGCCUCGUGAAUUCAUCUUCGGGGGUAGAGCACUGUUUCGGCUAGGGGGUCAUCCCGACUUACCAACCCGAUGCAAACUACGAAUACCGAAGAAUGUUAUCACGGGAGACACACGGCGGGUGCUAACGUCCGUCGUGAAGAGGGAAACAACCCAGACCGCCAGCUAAGGUCCCAAAGUCAUGGUUAAGUGGGAAACGAUGUGGGAAGGCACAGACAGCCAGGAUGUUGGCUUAGAAGCAGCCAUCAUUUAAAGAAAGCGUAAUAGCUCACUGGUCGAGUCGGCCUGCGCGGAAGAUGUAACGGGGCUAAACCAUGCACCGAAGCUGCGGCAGCGACACUAUGUGUUGUUGGGUAGGGGAGCGUUCUGUAAGCCUGCGAAGGUGUGCUGUGAGGCAUGCUGGAGGUAUCAGAAGUGCGAAUGCUGACAUAAGUAACGAUAAAGCGGGUGAAAAGCCCGCUCGCCGGAAGACCAAGGGUUCCUGUCCAACGUUAAUCGGGGCAGGGUGAGUCGACCCCUAAGGCGAGGCCGAAAGGCGUAGUCGAUGGGAAACAGGUUAAUAUUCCUGUACUUGGUGUUACUGCGAAGGGGGGACGGAGAAGGCUAUGUUAGCCGGGCGACGGUUGUCCCGGUUUAAGCAUGUAGGCUGGUU
RNAcentral lists this ribosomal RNA (716 nucleotides) under Klebsiella pneumoniae. Its description in RNAcentral is "partial 23S ribosomal RNA". It matches the Rfam family "Bacterial large subunit ribosomal RNA", at positions 812 to 1530 of the family's 2925-position model. The record is from RNAcentral. Lineage: Bacteria; Pseudomonadati; Pseudomonadota; Gammaproteobacteria; Enterobacterales; Enterobacteriaceae.